UUGUCCUGGCCUAUGCUCUCUCUGCUCCCCUGUGCUCAGUUCCAACAGGGGAGUCUGGCAGGACACACAGCAAUCUCCCUCUCAGUUUAGGAGGGCCGUCCUGAGUAUAGGGCUGGCUCUUAAAGGCACGAGAGGACAAU
Molecule: small nucleolar RNA, 140 nt
Filed under: Rhinolophus ferrumequinum (greater horseshoe bat)
Lineage: Eukaryota; Metazoa; Chordata; Mammalia; Chiroptera; Rhinolophidae
Description: Small Cajal body specific RNA 11 (ENSRFEG00010002629.1)
Rfam family: Small Cajal body specific RNA 11
About the family: scaRNAs are a specific class of small nuclear RNAs which localise to the Cajal bodies and guide the modification of RNA polymerase II transcribed spliceosomal RNAs U1, U2, U4, U5 and U12. ACA57 belongs to the H/ACA box class of guide RNAs as it has the predicted hairpin-hinge-hairpin-tail structure, conserved H/ACA-box motifs and is found associated with GAR1. ACA57 is predicted to guide the pseudouridylation of the U5 spliceosomal RNA at position U43.
Source: Rfam by way of RNAcentral